AUUGAACGCUGGCGGCAGGCCUAACACAUGCAAGUCGAACGAGUGGCGGACGGGUGAGUAAUGUCUGGGAAACUGCCUGAUGGAGGGGGAUAACUACUGGAAACGGUAGCUAAUACCGCAUACUAUCGUAUGUGCCCAGAUGGGAUUAGCUAGUAGGUGGGGUAACGGCUCACCUAGGCGACGAUCCCUAGCUGGUCUGAGAGGAUGAACAGCCACACUGGAACUGAGACACGGCCCAGACUCCUACGGGAGGCAGCAGUGGGGAAUAUUGGACAAUGGGCGCAAGCCUGAUGCAGCCAUGCCGCGUGUAUGAAGAAGGCCUUCGGGUUGUAAAGUACUUUCAGCGGGGAGGCGUUACCCGCAGAAGAAGCACCGGCUAACUCCGUGCCAGCAGCCGCGGUAAUAC
This 406-nucleotide ribosomal RNA is filed under the name uncultured bacterium. RNAcentral's name for it is "partial 16S ribosomal RNA". It matches the Rfam family "Bacterial small subunit ribosomal RNA", at positions 30 to 526 of the family's 1533-position model. The record is from RNAcentral.